CCCGGCCGUAAACGAUGGACGCUAGGUGUGGGGGGACGAUCCCUCCGUGCCGAAGCCAACGCAUUAAGCGUCCCGCCUGGGGAGUACGGCCGCAAGGCUAAAACUCAAAGGAAUUGACGGGGGCCCGCACAAGCAGCGGAGCAUGUGGCUUAAUUCGAAGCAACGCGAAGAACCUUACCGGGGCUUGACAUGCGCCUGAAGCCGGGGAGACCCGGUGGCCGAGAGGAGGGCGCACAGGUGGUGCAUGGCUGU
Molecule: ribosomal RNA, 252 nt
Filed under: uncultured bacterium
Lineage: Bacteria
Description: partial 16S ribosomal RNA
Rfam family: Bacterial small subunit ribosomal RNA
Source: RNAcentral